GAUGAACGCUGGCGGCGUGCCUAAUACAUGCAAGUCGAGCGAACAGACGAGGAGCUUGCUCCUCUGACGUUAGCGGCGGACGGGUGAGUAACACGUGGAUAACCUACCUAUAAGACUGGGAUAACUUCGGGAAACCGGAGCUAAUACCGGAUAACAUGUUGAACCGCAUGGUUCAACAGUGAAAGACGGUCUUGCUGUCACUUAUAGAUGGAUCCGCGCCGCAUUAGCUAGUUGGUAAGGUAACAGCUUACCAAGGCAACGAUGCGUAGCCGACCUGAGAGGGUGAUCGGCCACACUGGAACUGAGACACGGUCCAGACUCCUACGGGAGGCAGCAGUAGGGAAUCUUCCGCAAUGGGCGAAAGCCUGACGGAGCAACGCCGCGUGAGUGAUGAAGGUCUUCGGAUCGUAAAACUCUGUUAUUAGGGAAGAACAAAUGUGUAAGUAACUAUGCACGUCUUGACGGUACCUAAUCAGAAAGCCACGGCUAACUACGUG
This 497-nucleotide ribosomal RNA is filed under the name uncultured bacterium. RNAcentral's name for it is "partial 16S ribosomal RNA". It matches the Rfam family "Bacterial small subunit ribosomal RNA", at positions 28 to 507 of the family's 1533-position model. The record is from RNAcentral.